This 61-nucleotide transfer RNA is filed under the name Lucifotychus sp. 1 EF-2015. RNAcentral describes it as "tRNA-Leu". The record is from RNAcentral. Lineage: Eukaryota; Metazoa; Arthropoda; Insecta; Coleoptera; Staphylinidae.
AUUAUUUUGGCAGAUUAGUGUAUUAAGUUUAGAAUUUAAUUAUGUAUUUAUACAAAUAAUA